UAGAGAGAGAUGAGUUAAAGAGAGAAGUUGGAAUACAAGAGCGUUCUUUGGUCCCAAGUAUGAAGAGGAGCAACUUCGGUUACAUUAGCCUCUGGUUCCAGUUCCCUGCCACUAGGUGUCACUAAGUAAUCUAAUUAAAUACCAAUUUAUGACUCCAACAAAUGAGAAGACACGGAACGAAAUGAGGCAGAAAUAAAAAUUAAGGUCAUGUGGCCUAAAUAAAAUCCUGUAGCUUAUCUACAACAGCUAUUUCAAAACAGCGGGAUGAGUCCCUGGAACAUGAAUUGGAAAGUUCAUGAAUUAACAAGAACACACUGUGAGCUCCCUAAGGAUGAGGACCAGCUCCACAAAAACUCGAUGCUGCUGCCCUGCCACUUGGCUUCCAGCUCUGCUGUAGAGACCCUCUGUGGCCCUCAUGCGGUGCAGAACAAGUCAGGAGGCAAUUACUGAUUCCUCUGAGCACCCCCCUAGAAUUUUCUCCAACAUCAUUUCAGCAAGAGAUAAAACCGAUUGGCUGCAUCUUGAACGUUUUUUCACAAAUUAUAAUACCACCAGGGCACCUGGGUGGCCCAGUAGUGGUUGAACAUCUGCCUUCAGCCCAGGGCAUGACCCCGGAGUCCUGGGAUCGAGUCCUGCAUCAGGCUCCCCCCAGGGAGCCUGCUUCUCCCUCUUCCUGUGUCUCUGCCUCUCUCUCUGGGUCUCUCAUGAAUAAAUAAAUAAAAUCUUUUUUAAAAAUUGUAAGAUCACCAAGACUCCUGUUUUAGAGAUGCGGAAACUUAAUGUUUAGAGAAGUUAAAGUGGAUUAGGGCCACACAUCUCGUAAGUGGUGAAACCAGUUAACAAAUGUAAGAACCCCUAUUCUUUGCCCCUUGAAUAUAUCCAGUUUAUCUCAGCCCCAGAAGGAUCAAUUUUUAUUUUUUUAAUUUAUUUUAUUUUUUUUGAGGGAUCAAUUUUUAAAAACACAUUUCCUGCAAGAUAACUAUUUAAGUCAUUUCCAUUAAAGAGAAAAGAUAAUGAUUUUCUCCCUCAUGUGCUCUGACCUGGCUGCUGACAACUCAAUUUCCAGAGAAGAAGGAGAGUCCCAACUUCUGUAACUGACAGUCUCUUCCACCCCCAUCCAGACCUCAGGCUGUUCCGAACAUUCCUGAAUCAGAAAUUAAAUAUGGAGAAAUCUAAGUCAGUUGUGGAAAAAUCUAAGCUUAGCACUCACCAUGUCUUGUAGUUAGUGCUACGGGGUUCACUUCUGCAUGCACCUUAGAGGUGGGACAUCACUUUAAAAUAAUCAAUUUACUGAUAUAACAUGUCCAUUAC
Molecule: long non-coding RNA, 1311 nt
Filed under: Canis lupus familiaris (dog)
Lineage: Eukaryota; Metazoa; Chordata; Mammalia; Carnivora; Canidae
Description: lncRNA (ENSCAFG00040022738.1)
Source: RNAcentral